RNAcentral lists this long non-coding RNA (1074 nucleotides) under Homo sapiens (human). RNAcentral describes it as "HSALNT0320439". Lineage: Eukaryota; Metazoa; Chordata; Mammalia; Primates; Hominidae. The record is from RNAcentral.
GGGAAGUGAGGAGCGUCUCUGCCUGGCCGCCCAUCGUCUGGGAUGUGAGGAUCCCCUCUGCCUGGCUGUCCAGUCUGGAAAGUGAGGAGCGUCUCUGCCCGGCCGCCAUCCCAUCUAGGAAGUGAGGAGCGCCUCUUCCGGGCCGCCAUCCCAUCUAGGAAGUGAGGAGCGUCUCUGCCCGGCGGCCCAUCGUCUGAGAUGUGGGGAGUGCCUCUGCCCGGCCGCCCCGUCUGAGUAGUGAGGAGACCCUCUGCCUGGCAACCACCCCGUCUAAGAAGUGAGGAGCCCCUCCGCCCGGCAGCCACCCCGUCUGAGAAGCAACAAUGGAUCAAUCUUCAGUAAUAAACCUUCACUUGUUGAACUACGAAGGAAAGCACGUACCACAAAGGGACCUGGAAACAAAAACGAGAAUCAACUUUGAUUUUUAUAUCGCAAUACCACCUCAUGAGCAAAUAAAGUGGAGAGCUGGAUUUGGUUUGCUGACUCCUGGGACAGAAGACAGACUGAAGGAUGUCUGAGGAAAUGAAUGAGUAAAAGCCACCAUUUUUGUUUUGUGGAGAGCUGGAUUUGGUUUGCUGACUCCUGGGACAGAAGACAGACUGAAGGAUGUCUGAGGAAAUGAAUGAGUAAAAGUCACCAUUUUUGUUUUGCUACAAUUCAGACAUAGUAGUCAGCAAGCUUCAACCACAUAGAAAAAAAAACCCUAGAAGACUGCAACAACAAAAAAGAGGUGGGGUGGAAACCUUGAUCCCUGGAUAAUCCUGUGGAGCGAAGAAGCCCUGAGCUGAAAACCAAUUUAAACUUGGGAGAAAAUUAACUUUCUAUCAAAGUUAAAUCACUGUUAUUUGGUUUCUUUAAAACAGUUGAAUCAAUAAUGUGUGGUCCACUGAUCAUCAUGCAUGUUAUUUUGAAAUACGAACGACCCUUUAUCUACCUGGUAUAUAUUUUCGAACUCCUCCUAGAACCCAUCCUUGACCUACUUGUUCCAUUGCUACUCCAAACAAUCAUUGCUACUUUUCUGUAACUUCUAUAUCAUGUAUAUAUAUAAACACAUACCUUUUUUUUUUUUUUUUG